AAAACAGGAACAAAGUAAUCCACUACUGUCCUCUAACAUCUUAUAUGAGGAACCACGAGAGAAAUACCAUUGCAGAACUAUUAAAGUGAAGGUCCUUAAAGGAGAGAGCUCUUGCUAAGCCAUGUUUCUGUCUUGCAAGGCCAUGUCCAAGUCGCUGAAGAAGAUGGUGGAGGAGAGUCGGGAGAAGAACCAGCCCGAGGUGGACAUGUGCGACCGCGGCGUCUCCAACAUGCUGGACGUGCCCGGGCUCUUUACCUUGUCUCAUAUCACGCAGCUGGUUCUCAGUCACAACAAGCUUACCACUGUGCCAGCAAACAUCGCAGACCUGAGAAAUAUAGAAGUGCUCAACUUUUUCAACAACCAGAUUGAGGAGCUGCCUACACAGAUUAGCAGCCUUCAGAAGCUCAAACACCUGAAUCUUGGCAUGAACAGAUUAAACACCUUGCCAAGGGGAUUUGGCUCUUUACCAGCUCUGGAGGUUCUUGACUUGACUUACAACAACUUAAAUGAAAAUUCUCUACCUGGAAACUUCUUCUAUCUGACCACCCUGCGUGCACUCUAUCUAAGUGACAACGAUUUUGAAAUCCUGCCGCCAGAUAUUGGGAAGCUCACAAAGUUGCAGAUACUGAGUCUUAGAGACAAUGACCUGAUAUCACUGCCUAAAGAAAUCGGGGAGCUCACGCAGCUUAAAGAACUUCAUAUCCAGGGAAAUCGUCUUACUGUGCUGCCACCAGAACUAGGUAAUUUGGAUUUGACUGGUCAAAAGCAAGUCUUCAAAGCAGAGAACAAUCCUUGGGUGACACCAAUAGCCGACCAGUUCCAGCUGGGAGUGUCUCAUGUGUUUGAAUACAUUCGUUCAGAAACAUACAAAUAAACCACCUCCAACUGCAGAUAAGUUUGUUUCACAGAACAGAGCUUGAAGAAGGAGGACAAGCUAAAAAAGAAAUGUCUUUAUGGCAGACACAUGCAGGCAAACCCUGAACCUCCAAAGAAGAACAAUGACAAGUCGAAGAAGAUCAGUCGUAAGCCUCUGGCAGCCAAGAACAAAUAAGUCCCCAGCUUGUGCCUUUGUUUUUAUAUCUUUUAUAUCUCUUUUGCAUGUGCCUAUAGUAUUCCAACACAUUUCCUAUAACUUAUAUCUUAAGGAAGCAGAGACUAGAGUUAAAGGCCAUUUACUAUGUGUGCUGCUUUAGAAGAUUCUGCUUAAGGAAUACAAAAUUACACACUCUCCUAAUUAUGGUCACAUUUAUGUAGCCAUUUAAUAUAUCACUGUCAAACACAUUUUAGCUUUUCUAUUUAUAUGUACAUUAAUGUCCUCUGUUCACAUGUAUCACACCCUAUUAAUACCAGGUUUUUUGCACUUACACAAUAAUAAAUUUCAUAUAUUAUUACAUAUGAUUUUAAUAAAAGCC
Molecule: non-coding RNA, 1412 nt
Organism: Anas platyrhynchos (mallard)
Lineage: Eukaryota; Metazoa; Chordata; Aves; Anseriformes; Anatidae
Source: RefSeq, a predicted model, not a curated record